RNAcentral lists this ribosomal RNA (412 nucleotides) under Sapphirina scarlata. Its description in RNAcentral is "SSU rRNA". It matches the Rfam family "Eukaryotic small subunit ribosomal RNA", at positions 81 to 495 of the family's 1831-position model. The record is from RNAcentral. Lineage: Eukaryota; Metazoa; Arthropoda; Copepoda; Poecilostomatoida; Sapphirinidae.
GUGAAACCGCGAAUGGCUCAUUAAAUCACACCUUAUGUACCGGACAGUUCCUUUUACUUGGAUAACUGCGGUAAUUCUGGAGCUAAUACAUGCCUACAAAGCCUGACUCACGGAGGGCUGCUUUUAUUAGAUCAAAACCAAACUGCUUCGGCAGUUCAAUUGGUGACUCUGGAUAACUUAUCGAUCGAACGUUCCUAGAAACGUCGACGUGUCCGUCCAAGGUGUGCCCUAUCAACUGUCGACUGUGGCAUAGACGCCCACAGUGGUUUUGACGGGUAACGGGGAAUUAGGGUUCGAUUCCGGAGAGGGAGCCUGAGAAACGGCUACCACUUCUAAGGAAGGCAGCAGGCACGCAAAUUACCCAAUGGUCGAAGACCGAGGUAGUGACGAAAAAUAACGAUACCGGUCUCUU